UUCUGAGAUGGAGUCGCACUCUGUCAUCCAGGCUGGUGCCUGGAGUACGGUGGUGCAAUCUCAGCUCACUGCAACCUUUGCCUCCCAGAUUCAAGCAAUUCUCAUGCCUCAGCCUCCCUAGUAGCUGGGACUACAGGCACCUGUCACCAUACCUGGCUAAUUUUUGAAUUUUUAGUAGAGACGGGGUUUCACCAUGUUAGCCAAGCUGGUCUUGAACUCCUGGCAUCAAAAGAUCUGCUUGCUUCGGCCUCCCAAAGUGCUGAGAUUACAUGCAUGAGCCACCAUGCCCAGCCAAAGCAUUUUUAUGAUGACUGCUUUGAAAUCCUUGUCAAAAAUUCCAACAUCUGAUUCAUCUCAGUGUUAAUGUUGGUUGGUUGUCUUAAGAUGAGAUUUUCCUAGUUUUUGGUAUGAUGAGUGAUUUUUACUGCAUCUUUGACAUUUUAGGUAUUACAUUAAGAUUUUUUUUUUCUUUUUUCUGAGACAGUCUUGCUCUGUCACCCAAACUGGAGUGCAGUGGUAGUGGUGCAAUCUUGGCUCACUGCAACCUCCACCUCCCAGGUUCAAGUGAUUCUCCUGCCCAAGCCUCCUGAGUAGCUGGGAUUACAGGUAUGCACCACCAUGUCCAGCCAAUUUUUUGUAUUUUUAGUAGAGACAGGGUUUCACCAUGUUGGCCAGGCUGGUCUUGAACUUCUGACCUCAAGUGAUCUGCCUGCCUUGGCUUCCCAAAGUGCUGGGAUUACAGGUGUGAGCCACCGUGUUAAGGUUUAGUUUGUAGGUUCUGGCCUACUUUUGUGGACUGUAGCUCCAAUGAUAUUUCUUUUCUUUUCUUUCUUUCUUUCUUUUUUUUUUUUUUUGAGACAAACUCUCUCCCUGUUGUCCGGGCUGGAGUGCAACAGCAAAAUCUUGGCUCACCGCAGGCUUGCCUCCCGGGCUCAAGCAAUUCUCCUGCCUCAGCCUCCCGAGUAAGGUAGGACUACAGGCGCACACCACCACACCUGGCUAAUUUUUGUAUUUUCUGUAGGGAUGGGAUUUUGCUAUGUUGCCCAGGCUGGUCUUGAACUCCUGAGCUCAAAUGAUCCACCCACCUCUGCUUCCCAAAGUGCUGGGAUACAGGCAUGAGCCACCGCGUGCAGCCAAAAGUUAUUUUAAAGUAGAGAAGUUCUUGGCACUGUUCCGUACUCUGACAGUCCUGGCACAGGCCCGGUCUCCAGUGAUAUUUAUGACUCCUCAUUUGCUUCAUUUUUCUGGUAUUGCCGGGGCUCCUGUUUAUUCCUGCUGGUGCUGCCUACAGGGGUAGAAGGCAUUUCCCUGGGCCACUUGUUAUCACUGGAGUGGGUGGGGGAGGCCAGAAGAUGUAGGGUCUGGUAAAAUGUCUGAUGCUGGGUGGAGGGCCCAGAGAUCCAGGGUUCUGCUGACAUUGCCACUGCAGGUUGGAUUGGUCUGUCACUGCUCCAGGUAUGGAGAAGGGAUUGGGGCUCCCCACUGGGAGACCCUCUCUGUUGGGCUUCCUCUUUCCGGGUCUUUUUGGCUGGAGAAAGCAAGUUUUUCUUCUACUUUUGAGUGUGUGUUUAUGCUGUCGGCAGAUCUGUGUGUCAGGCUUCUGUGGUGCCCAGUUUGGGUUAUGUGAGUGAUGAAAAGAAAACUCCAGGGAACUCACCAUAGUGUCAGCCUUCAAGUCCUGAGAUGCCUAGUCAGUCACUGCCUUCUUUCCAGCCAUCAGAAUCCUUUUAUGGUUGUCUGUUGAACUAUUUCCAAAAUAUUUAGUUAUUUUUAGAAGGGAAGAACAGAGAAAAGUGAAUUGACAACCUUGUCUAUCACAUCCAUUAAAAAAAAAUGUGGUAUAAGGCACCCAGCAUAAAAUUGACCAUUAGUGACAAUUACUGUGUUCAUAAGGUUGUGUAACCAUCAUUACUAUCAGAAUAUUUUUCUGGUCCAAAAGGAAACCCUAUACCCAUUAAGCAGUCACUUACCAUUCCCUGCUUUCCCCUUCCCCUGGCAACCUCUCUCUGUCCUGCUUUAAUCUACUGUCUCUGUAGAUUUGACUAUUCUGGAUAUUUUAUAUAAAGGGAGUCGUAUAAUAUGUGGUCUUUUGUGACCAGCUACUUUCACCUAGCAUAAUGUCUUCAAAGUUUAUCCAUGUUUCACAUGCAUGAGUACUUCAUUCCUUUUAGUGGCUGAAUAAUCCACUGUACGGACAUACCAUAUAUUGUUUAUCCAUUAAUCAGUAUGUGGCUAUUUGGGUUGUUUCCACCUUUGGCUCUCAUAAGCCCCAGCUCCUGGCUGACAGUGUCUUUUGAAGCAAAAAAGUUUUAAAUAUUGCUGAUGUCCAAUUUAUCUAUAUUUUUCUUUUGUUGCUUAUGUUUUUGGUGUCAUGUCUAAGAAACCAUUGCCAAAUCCAAGAUCAUGAAGGUUUACUCCUAUGUUUUCUUCCAAGAGUUUUAUAGUUUUUGCUCUUACAUGUAGGUCUUUAAUGCAUUUUGAGUUAAUUUUUGUAUACAAUGUGGGAUAGGAGGCUGGGUGCAGUGGAUCUUGCCUGUAAUCCCAGCACUUUGGAGAGGCUGAGGCAGGAGGAUCACUUGAGGUCAGGAGUUUGAGACCAGCUUGGUCAACAUGGUGAAACCCCGUCUCUACUUAAAAAAAAGGCUGGGCAUGGUGGCUCACGCCUGUAAUCCCAGCACCUUCGCAGGCCAAGGUGGGUGGAUCACCUGAGGUCAGGAGUUCGAGACCAGCCUGACCAAUAUGAUGAAACCCC
Molecule: long non-coding RNA, 2752 nt
Filed under: Homo sapiens (human)
Lineage: Eukaryota; Metazoa; Chordata; Mammalia; Primates; Hominidae
Description: HSALNT0007055
Source: RNAcentral